CAGCUAGACCACAAAUAUCAGAUGAGAGCUCAGGUGAAAAGCAGUUGCAAGUCAUUGUUCUGAGAAAAUGCUCUGAAAGGGAGAACCCAAGGCCAUGACAUCACCCACAGACAUCUGCAAACCAAGACUGUAUGCUGUUUGUGCCUGUUGCCUCUUGUCCUGACACUGGGCACUACUGAAAAGAGUCUGGCUCCAGCUUCUUUGAACCCUCGCUUCGGAGUACCGUAGAAGAGCUUCGGUCUGGAGAACAGCCGGUGACAAGACAGGUGUUACUGUAGAGAGAAUUGAUGGAGUCCUCGUAAGUUGACUUUGCUACUUCCAGAGAUGAUGCUGAGCUGGAGUUUGGCCCA
Molecule: long non-coding RNA, 350 nt
Organism: Oxyura jamaicensis (ruddy duck)
Lineage: Eukaryota; Metazoa; Chordata; Aves; Anseriformes; Anatidae
Exons: 3
Source: RefSeq, a predicted model, not a curated record